This 2201-nucleotide ribosomal RNA is filed under the name Escherichia coli. RNAcentral describes it as "partial 23S ribosomal RNA". It matches the Rfam family "Bacterial large subunit ribosomal RNA", at positions 1 to 2228 of the family's 2925-position model. The record is from RNAcentral. Lineage: Bacteria; Pseudomonadati; Pseudomonadota; Gammaproteobacteria; Enterobacterales; Enterobacteriaceae.
GGUUAAGCGACUAAGCGUACACGGUGGAUGCCCUGGCAGUCAGAGGCGAUGAAGGACGUGCUAAUCUGCGAUAAGCGUCGGUAAGGUGAUAUGAACCGUUAUAACCGGCGAUUUCCGAAUGGGGAAACCCAGUGUGUUUCGACACACUAUCAUUAACUGAAUCCAUAGGUUAAUGAGGCGAACCGGGGGAACUGAAACAUCUAAGUACCCCGAGGAAAAGAAAUCAACCGAGAUUCCCCCAGUAGCGGCGAGCGAACGGGGAGCAGCCCAGAGCCUGAAUCAGUGUGUGUGUUAGUGGAAGCGUCUGGAAAGGCGCGCGAUACAGGGUGACAGCCCCGUACACAAAAAUGCACAUGCUGUGAGCUCGAUGAGUAGGGCGGGACACGUGGUAUCCUGUCUGAAUAUGGGGGGACCAUCCUCCAAGGCUAAAUACUCCUGACUGACCGAUAGUGAACCAGUACCGUGAGGGAAAGGCGAAAAGAACCCCGGCGAGGGGAGUGAAAAAGAACCUGAAACCGUGUACGUACAAGCAGUGGGAGCCUCUUUAUGGGGUGACUGCGUACCUUUUGUAUAAUGGGUCAGCGACUUAUAUUCUGUAGCAAGGUUAACCGAAUAGGGGAGCCGAAGGGAAACCGAGUCUUAACUGGGCGUUAAGUUGCAGGGUAUAGACCCGAAACCCGGUGAUCUAGCCAUGGGCAGGUUGAAGGUUGGGUAACACUAACUGGAGGACCGAACCGACUAAUGUUGAAAAAUUAGCGGAUGACUUGUGGCUGGGGGUGAAAGGCCAAUCAAACCGGGAGAUAGCUGGUUCUCCCCGAAAGCUAUUUAGGUAGCGCCUCGUGAAUUCAUCUCCGGGGGUAGAGCACUGUUUCGGCAAGGGGGUCAUCCCGACUUACCAACCCGAUGCAAACUGCGAAUACCGGAGAAUGUUAUCACGGGAGACACACGGCGGGUGCUAACGUCCGUCGUGAAGAGGGAAACAACCCAGACCGCCAGCUAAGGUCCCAAAGUCAUGGUUAAGUGGGAAACGAUGUGGGAAGGCCCAGACAGCCAGGAUGUUGGCUUAGAAGCAGCCAUCAUUUAAAGAAAGCGUAAUAGCUCACUGGUCGAGUCGGCCUGCGCGGAAGAUGUAACGGGGCUAAACCAUGCACCGAAGCUGCGGCAGCGACGCUUAUGCGUUGUUGGGUAGGGGAGCGUUCUGUAAGCCUGUGAAGGUGUGCUGUGAGGCAUGCUGGAGGUAUCAGAAGUGCGAAUGCUGACAUAAGUAACGAUAAAGCGGGUGAAAAGCCCGCUCGCCGGAAGACCAAGGGUUCCUGUCCAACGUUAAUCGGGGCAGGGUGAGUCGACCCCUAAGGCGAGGCCGAAAGGCGUAGUCGAUGGGAAACAGGUUAAUAUUCCUGUACUUGGUGUUACUGCGAAGGGGGGACGGAGAAGGCUAUGUUGGCCGGGCGACGGUUGUCCCGGUUUAAGCGUGUAGGCUGGUUUUCCAGGCAAAUCCGGAAAAUCAAGGCUGAGGCGUGAUGACGAGGCACUACGGUGCUGAAGCAACAAAUGCCCUGCUUCCAGGAAAAGCCUCUAAGCAUCAGGUAACAUCAAAUCGUACCCCAAACCGACACAGGUGGUCAGGUAGAGAAUACCAAGGCGCUUGAGAGAACUCGGGUGAAGGAACUAGGCAAAAUGGUGCCGUAACUUCGGGAGAAGGCACGCUGAUAUGUAGGUGAGGUCCCUCGCGGAUGGAGCUGAAAUCAGUCGAAGAUACCAGCUGGCUGCAACUGUUUAUUAAAAACACAGCACUGUGCAAACACGAAAGUGGACGUAUACGGUGUGACGCCUGCCCGGUGCCGGAAGGUUAAUUGAUGGGGUCAGCGCAAGCGAAGCUCUUGAUCGAAGCCCCGGUAAACGGCGGCCGUAACUAUAACGGUCCUAAGGUAGCGAAAUUCCUUGUCGGGUAAGUUCCGACCUGCACGAAUGGCGUAAUGAUGGCCAGGCUGUCUCCACCCGAGACUCAGUGAAAUUGAACUCGCUGUGAAGAUGCAGUGUACCCGCGGCAAGACGGAAAGACCCCGUGAACCUUUACUAUAGCUUGACACUGAACAUUGAGCCUUGAUGUGUAGGAUAGGUGGGAGGCUUUGAAGUGUGGACGCCAGUCUGCAUGGAGCCGACCUUGAAAUACCACCCUUUAAUGUUUGAUGUUCUAACGU